CCUACGGGUGGCAGCAGUGAGGAAUAUUGGUCAAUGGACGCUAGUCUGAACCAGCCAAGUAGCGUGAAGGAUGACUGCCCUAUGGGUUGUAAACUUCUUUUAUAUGGGAAUACACUGUUCCACUUGUCCUAUUUUGUAUGUCCCCUAUGAAUAAGGCUCGGCUAACUCCGUGCCAGCAGCCGCGGUAAUACGGAGGAUCCGAGCGUUAUCCGGAUUUCUUGGGUUUAAAGGGAGCGUAGGUGGAUUGUUAAGUCAGUUGUGAAAGUUUGCGGCUCAACCGUAAAAUUGCAGUUGAAACUGGCAGUCUUGAGUACAGUAGAGGUAGGCGGAAUUCGUGGUGUAGCGGUGAAAUGCUUAGAUAUCACGAAGAACUACGAUUGCGAAGGCAGCUUACUGGACUGCAACUGACACUGAGGCACGAAAGUGUGGGUAUCAAACAGGAUUAGAUACCCUUGUAGUC
RNAcentral lists this ribosomal RNA (460 nucleotides) under uncultured bacterium. Its description in RNAcentral is "partial 16S ribosomal RNA". It matches the Rfam family "Bacterial small subunit ribosomal RNA", at positions 338 to 795 of the family's 1533-position model. The record is from RNAcentral.